Molecule: ribosomal RNA, 2902 nt
Filed under: Escherichia coli
Lineage: Bacteria; Pseudomonadati; Pseudomonadota; Gammaproteobacteria; Enterobacterales; Enterobacteriaceae
Also listed under: 12 other names
Description: bacterial LSU rRNA
Rfam family: Bacterial large subunit ribosomal RNA
Source: RNAcentral
UUAAGCGACUAAGCGUACACGGUGGAUGCCCUGGCAGUCAGAGGCGAUGAAGGACGUGCUAAUCUGCGAUAAGCGUCGGUGAGGUGAUAUGAACCGUUAUAACCGGCGAUUUCCGAAUGGGGAAACCCAGUGUGUUUCGACACACUAUCAUUAACUGAAUCCAUAGGUUAAUGAGGCGAACCGGGGGAACUGAAACAUCUAAGUACCCCGAGGAAAAGAAAUCAACCGAGAUUCCCCCAGUAGCGGCGAGCGAACGGGGAGGAGCCCAGAGCCUGAAUCAGUGUGUGUGUUAGUGGAAGCGUCUGGAAAGGCGUGCGAUACAGGGUGACAGCCCCGUACACAAAAAUGCACAUAUUGUGAGCUCGAUGAGUAGGGCGGGACACGUGGUAUCCUGUCUGAAUAUGGGGGGACCAUCCUCCAAGGCUAAAUACUCCUGACUGACCGAUAGUGAACCAGUACCGUGAGGGAAAGGCGAAAAGAACCCCGGCGAGGGGAGUGAAAAAGAACCUGAAACCGUGUACGUACAAGCAGUGGGAGCCUCUUUAUGGGGUGACUGCGUACCUUUUGUAUAAUGGGUCAGCGACUUAUAUUCUGUAGCAAGGUUAACCGAAUAGGGGAGCCGAAGGGAAACCGAGUCUUAACUGGGCGUUAAGUUGCAGGGUAUAGACCCGAAACCCGGUGAUCUAGCCAUGGGCAGGUUGAAGGUUGGGUAACACUAACUGGAGGACCGAACCGACUAAUGUUGAAAAAUUAGCGGAUGACUUGUGGCUGGGGGUGAAAGGCCAAUCAAACCGGGAGAUAGCUGGUUCUCCCCGAAAGCUAUUUAGGUAGCGCCUCGUGAAUUCAUCUCCGGGGGUAGAGCACUGUUUCGGCAAGGGGGUCAUCCCGACUUACCAACCCGAUGCAAACUGCGAAUACCGGAGAAUGUUAUCACGGGAGACACACGGCGGGUGCUAACGUCCGUCGUGAAGAGGGAAACAACCCAGACCGCCAGCUAAGGUCCCAAAGUCAUGGUUAAGUGGGAAACGAUGUGGGAAGGCCCAGACAGCCAGGAUGUUGGCUUAGAAGCAGCCAUCAUUUAAAGAAAGCGUAAUAGCUCACUGGUCGAGUCGGCCUGCGCGGAAGAUGUAACGGGGCUAAACCAUGCACCGAAGCUGCGGCAGCGACACUAUGUGUUGUUGGGUAGGGGAGCGUUCUGUAAGCCUGUGAAGGUGGCCUGUGAGGGUUGCUGGAGGUAUCAGAAGUGCGAAUGCUGACAUAAGUAACGAUAAAGCGGGUGAAAAGCCCGCUCGCCGGAAGACCAAGGGUUCCUGUCCAACGUUAAUCGGGGCAGGGUGAGUCGACCCCUAAGGCGAGGCCGAAAGGCGUAGUCGAUGGGAAACAGGUUAAUAUUCCUGUACUUGGUGUUACUGCGAAGGGGGGACGGAGAAGGCUAUGUUGGCCGGGCGACGGUUGUCCCGGUUUAAGCGUGUAGGCUGGUUUUCCAGGCAAAUCCGGAAAACCAAGGCUGAGGCGUGAUGACGAGGCACUACGGUGCUGAAGCGACAAAUGCCCUGCUUCCAGGAAAAGCCUCUAAGCAUCAGGUAACAUCAAAUCGUACCCCAAACCGACACAGGUGGUCAGGUAGAGAAUACCAAGGCGCUUGAGAGAACUCGGGUGAAGGAACUAGGCAAAAUGGUGCCGUAACUUCGGGAGAAGGCACGCUGAUAUGUAGGUGAAGCGACUUGCUCGUGGAGCUGAAAUCAGUCGAAGAUACCAGCUGGCUGCAACUGUUUAUUAAAAACACAGCACUGUGCAAACACGAAAGUGGACGUAUACGGUGUGACGCCUGCCCGGUGCCGGAAGGUUAAUUGAUGGGGUUAGCGGUAACGCGAAGCUCUUGAUCGAAGCCCCGGUAAACGGCGGCCGUAACUAUAACGGUCCUAAGGUAGCGAAAUUCCUUGUCGGGUAAGUUCCGACCUGCACGAAUGGCGUAAUGAUGGCCAGGCUGUCUCCACCCGAGACUCAGUGAAAUUGAACUCGCUGUGAAGAUGCAGUGUACCCGCGGCAAGACGGAAAGACCCCGUGAACCUUUACUAUAGCUUGACACUGAACAUUGAGCCUUGAUGUGUAGGAUAGGUGGGAGGCUUUGAAGUGUGGACGCCAGUCUGCAUGGAGCCGACCUUGAAAUACCACCCUUUAAUGUUUGAUGUUCUAACGUUGGCCCGUAAUCCGGGUUGCGGACAGUGUCUGGUGGGUAGUUUGACUGGGGCGGUCUCCUCCUAAAGAGUAACGGAGGAGCACGAAGGUUGGCUAAUCCUGGUCGGACAUCAGGAGGUUAGUGCAAUGGCAUAAGCCAGCUUGACUGCGAGCGUGACGGCGCGAGCAGGUGCGAAAGCAGGUCAUAGUGAUCCGGUGGUUCUGAAUGGAAGGGCCAUCGCUCAACGGAUAAAAGGUACUCCGGGGAUAACAGGCUGAUACCGCCCAAGAGUUCAUAUCGACGGCGGUGUUUGGCACCUCGAUGUCGGCUCAUCACAUCCUGGGGCUGAAGUAGGUCCCAAGGGUAUGGCUGUUCGCCAUUUAAAGUGGUACGCGAGCUGGGUUUAGAACGUCGUGAGACAGUUCGGUCCCUAUCUGCCGUGGGCGCUGGAGAACUGAGGGGGGCUGCUCCUAGUACGAGAGGACCGGAGUGGACGCAUCACUGGUGUUCGGGUUGUCAUGCCAAUGGCACUGCCCGGUAGCUAAAUGCGGAAGAGAUAAGUGCUGAAAGCAUCUAAGCACGAAACUUGCCCCGAGAUGAGUUCUCCCUGAGACUUAGAGUCUCCUGAAGGAACGUUGAAGACGACGACGUUGAUAGGCCGGGUGUGUAAGCGCAGCGAUGCGUUGAGCUAACCGGUACUAAUGAACCGUGAGGCUUAACCUU